RNAcentral lists this ribosomal RNA (293 nucleotides) under uncultured bacterium. RNAcentral describes it as "partial 16S ribosomal RNA". It matches the Rfam family "Archaeal small subunit ribosomal RNA", at positions 455 to 747 of the family's 1478-position model. The record is from RNAcentral.
GUGCCAGCCGCCGCGGUAAUACCGGCAGCCCGAGUGAUGGCCGAUCUUAUUGGGCCUAAAGCGUCCGUAGCUGGCUGCGCAAGUCCGUCGGGAAAUCCUCGUGCUUAACACGUGGGCGACCGGCGGAAACUGCACAGCUUGGGACCGGAAGGCUCGAAGGGUACGUUCGGGGUAGGAGUGAAAUCCCGUAAUCCCGGACGGACUACCGAUGGCGAAAGCACUCUGAGAAGACGGCUUCGACAGUGAGGGACGAAAGCUCGGGUCUCAAACCGGAUUAGAUACCCCUGUAGUCC